This 436-nucleotide ribosomal RNA is filed under the name uncultured Lachnospiraceae bacterium. RNAcentral describes it as "partial 16S ribosomal RNA". It matches the Rfam family "Bacterial small subunit ribosomal RNA", at positions 341 to 792 of the family's 1533-position model. The record is from RNAcentral. Lineage: Bacteria; Bacillati; Bacillota; Clostridia; Lachnospirales; Lachnospiraceae.
ACGGGAGGCAGCAGUGGGGAAUAUUGGGCAAUGGGCGCAAGCCUGACCCAGCAACGCCGCGUGAAGGAUGAAGGUCUUCGGAUUGUAAACUUCUUUGAUCAGGGACGAAUAAAUGACGGUACCUGAAGAACAAGUCACGGCUAACUACGUGCCAGCAGCCGCGGUAAUACGUAGGUGACAAGCGUUAUCCGGAUUUACUGGGUGUAAAGGGAGCGUAGACGGAAGGCCAAGUCUGAUGUGAAAACCCAGGGCUCAACCCUGGGACUGCAUUGGAAACUGGUCAUCUAGAGUGCAGGAGGGGUAAGCGGAAUUCCUAGUGUAGCGGUGAAAUGCGUAGAUAUUAGGAGGAACACCAGUGGCGAAGGCGGCUUACUGGACUGUAACUGACGUUGAGGCUCGAAAGCGUGGGGAGCAAACAGGAUUAGAUACCCUGGUA